GGAAACAGCAUGUGAGGAAGUGGCAAUCAGCUGGUGACAGCUAAAUUUAGGUUGUCCCGCGAAGUCUGACUUUAAAGUUUUGAUGGAGCAAUUACUAGGGUUGUGAUGGCGGUCCGAAUUAUACAUGAAACGACAUAUCUCGUAUCAUCAGUCAUUCGACGACGACAACUUUAGCUACUUGCCAGUGAACAGACCGCCAUCAUUUAGCUGGAAUAUUGGUGAGUGCGGCAUUAACCAAACAACAAACAAAAACAAACAAAUCAAACUUGCUGGGAUUUUCAGUUGGCCUAGUUGGGUCUUCAACAAGUCAUCACACAUGUGAAUCAUCUCGGCUGUAUUGCAGAUGCUAACCCUUAGAGCUGGAUGUCCCCAGGCGGCUAAAGACUGAACCACCCGCCAUGACCGUGGUGUGUAAGACCAAGAUGGGCUGGUUCAUUGACCAUCUGCUGGCAGUGGACGGGGCCUAUACGGGCCACCAGACCACCACGCACUACAGCCUCAAGUCAGCCAUGUUUGAUAUGCAGUGUCCCUUCAUGAUGGAUUCCCAGUUUGAGAAGUGGCACAAGCUCCAGGAGACGCAGCAGACUCCACAGACAAAGAAGAGAAAGCGGAGGAUACCAGACAUGAGCGGUGGCGGUGAUACUAGCGAAUUAAAAGAGCUUGUAGAGAGACUGUCAUCAGCUCACAAGACACUAGUUGCCGCUGCUCGUCAACACGGACAUCUGCUGGAGAGGAAGGUAGUCCCUAGCAACAACAACACUGCUGCCAGACUAGCAGCAAGUCUAGCUGGACCAGGGGAUAGGCUGGCUGAGGUGGCCGAGUCAUGGUCUAAGGGAGAGAACUCAUGGCAGUCUCCACAUCUCAUCAAUGACAGUGGAACAGCACUCAGCAUGGCAGACGUCUUUCACCGGAGAGUGACAUACAAGGGAGAUAAUCCUGUUGUCAUGUGUCUUGAUGGUCACCACUACCUAAUUCCACCUCGGUCGUCAUUCGUCAUGUCUGACUUCAACCAGCUGCUGCAGAACUCAAACACUCUACAAGUUCCAGGUGGGUAUGACUUGAUCGUUGUCGACCCUCCGUGGCAGAACAAGUCCGUGAAGAGGAAGAGGAGCUACUACAGUCUGGAAGAGGAAUCCCUGCUUCGGCUGCCAGUAGCUGACUUGGCCUCACCCUCCUGUCUCAUUGUCACGUGGGUCACAAACAAGCCACGCCUUACUUCAUUUGUACAAGACCAACUGCUGCCACAUUGGGGCGUCCAGCAGGUCAUGCAGUGGCACUGGGUGAAGGUGACAGUGGAUGGGACCAUGGUCUGUGAUAUUGCCUCCCCAACAAAGAAACCGUACGAAACUCUGCUCCUCGGUCGAUUGGUGAGGAAGGGAGGGGAGACAACUCAGGAGAAACAGGGUCCACCAGUAACUUCAGGACACAGCUCAAGUUUUGUGGAGUCUCUCUCUGUGAAGGGUGUUAGCUCAACUCAUCAUGAUCAACACACAUCCGUCCCAGUCACGUUAAGGGCAGACAACUCAAAUACGUCAGACCAGGACCUGUUGGCUACAUCAAGAGCAAAUGACUCUGAUGUGAUUGACCAGUACGUUGCCAAAGUCAAGGAAUAUGACAGCUCAAGUCUUCUGCAGUCAUCAAAGGGUAACAACUCUCAUGUUACCCAUGGUUACUUAUCAGAGGGUAACGUUUCAGAUCUGCCAGACAAUCGUGUGAUCCUCAGUGUGCCUUGCAGUCUUCACUCCAAGAAACCCCCACUUCAAGAUGUCCUGGCGCAGUACCUACCGCCAACACCAGCAUGUCUGGAGCUGUUUGCCCGGAACUUGUGGCCAGAUUGGGUCAGCUGGGGACAUGAAGUACUGAAGCAUCAGCACUUGGACUACUUUGAGGAGAAGACCUAGACCGUGUCUUAAAGGGGUAUUCCACACAGACAACAUGGCUGGUCCCAGUGACUGGCAGCUCAGGAGCCCAUGUCCUAAAGGGACGUUCCACAGACAACAUGGCUGGCACCAGUGACUGGCAGGUUAGGACCCAUGUCUUAAAGGGACAUUCCACACAGACAACAUGGCUGGUCCCAGUGACUGGCAGCUCAGGAGCCCAUGUAUUAACGGGACAUUCCACACGGACACCAUGGCUGGUCCCAGUGACUGACAGCCAAGGAUUCAUGUCUCAAAGGGACAUUCCACACAGACAACAUGGCUGGUCCCAGUGACUGACAGCCAAGGAUCCAUGUCUUAAAGGGGCGUUCCACACACACAACAUGGCUGGUCCAAGUGACUAAGAGCUUUGGAGCCCAUGUGUUAAAGUCUGGUUUAGUGAAUGUGAUCAACUGGAGCUCCAACAGGUUGUGAACUAGCUGGCAAGGUGAUAGAUGGUUGGCAAGGUGAUAGAUGGUUGGCAAGGUGACAGGUGGUUGGCAAGGUGACAGGUGGUUUUCUAGAUGACCAGCAGUCCACACACCUUCCUAUGACGAUGGGCAGCAAUGGAUGCAGGAUUGUGUUACUAAACUGAGAGGACAUGACUGAGGUUGUGAUGGCUGCAUGGUGACAUUAUCACACAUUAUCACACAGACACAGCAUGACAGUAGUUCCAAGUAGUGCACCACACCAGUCCCAUGAUGACAUAUAUAGUGAUGAGUGUGUGAUAAUACAAAUGGCCUGUUUACAAACCACUCAUCCCACAUCCCUGAGGGACAUCAAUAUGGCUGGGAUGAAUCUGUUCGUCCACCCAGUCGUCUGUGCUGUGUGUAGGGAGACCCAGUCGGGAAUAUGUUCCAACUACAAGAAGAUAUUUUAAGUGCCGUUGUACAAAACAACCUUAGCACUACGAUUGUCGUAAGUCUAUGUUAAGGUAUGGGUGUUACAAUUACCUUAGCGCUAAGAUCUGUCUGUACAACAGUACCCUGGACUGAUCCUCUGUGCCACUGACUACUGUUACAGACACUGCCAAGUAGCAAUAUGUCUGACAUUCACUGGAGUUGUUCCUCGCAGACUUUCAGCAAUAUCGACAGGAACACAGUGAGGUGAGGUGAGGUGAGGUGAGGUGAGGUGAGGUGAA
Molecule: unclassified non-coding RNA, 3057 nt
Filed under: Haliotis rufescens (red abalone)
Lineage: Eukaryota; Metazoa; Mollusca; Gastropoda; Lepetellida; Haliotidae
Description: n(6)-adenine-specific methyltransferase METTL4-like, transcript variant X1
Source: RNAcentral